Molecule: long non-coding RNA, 361 nt
Organism: Rhineura floridana
Lineage: Eukaryota; Metazoa; Chordata; Lepidosauria; Squamata; Rhineuridae
Exons: 3
Source: RefSeq, a predicted model, not a curated record
UGGUGCACCUGCAUGUGUUAUUGUAAGGUAACAGUGUAUCAUCAAGUUUCUAUGCGGUGUCAUGAGAUGAUGGAAGCAAUUUGUGACCUACCUGAUGCCUAUGAGAAGCCCACAACCAGGAUCUGAAUGCGACAGCACUUUCCUCACUUAUGAUUCCCAGCAACUGGUAUUCAAAGACCCCACCUUUCAUCAUACAUCCCCAGGCAGCAUACAUGGGGUUCCCAGGCAAUCUCCCAUCCAGCCACUGACCAGACCUAGACCUAGCUUCAGCAAGGUGGUAGCCUCAAGUGCCUUCAGACCAUAGCCUCUUUUGUCAUAUUGGAUUAAAUGUUGAACCUCAUAUUGAUAAAUUUCAAAUAUU